UACGGGAGGCAGCAGUGGGGAAUAUUGCACAAUGGGCGCAAGCCUGAUGCAGCCAUGCCGCGUGUAUGAAAAAGGCCUUCGGGUUGUAAAGUACUUUCAGUCGUGAGGAAGGUGUUAAGGUUAAUAACCUUAGCAAUUGACGUUAGCGACAGAAGAAGCACCGGCUAACUCCGUGCCAGCAGCCGCGGUAAUACGGAGGGUGCGAGCGUUAAUCGGAAUUACUGGGCGUAAAGGGCACGCAGGCGGUUAAUUAAGUUGGAUGUGAAAUCCCCGGGCUUAACCUGGGAAUGGCAUUCAAGACUGGUUAGCUAGAGUCUUGUAGAGAGGGGUAGAAUUCCAUGUGUAGCGGUGAAAUGCGUAGAGAUGUGGAGGAAUACCGGUGGCGAAGGCGGCCCCUGGGACAAAGGACUGACGCUCAUGUGCGAAAGCGUGGGGAGCAAAC
RNAcentral lists this ribosomal RNA (442 nucleotides) under uncultured bacterium. Its description in RNAcentral is "bacterial SSU rRNA". It matches the Rfam family "Bacterial small subunit ribosomal RNA", at positions 340 to 773 of the family's 1533-position model. The record is from RNAcentral.